AAACCAGCACCUCAAGUGGUCAGGAUGAUUAUUGGGCCUAAAGCAUCCGUAGCCGGCUCUGUAAGUUUUCGGUUAAAUCUGUACGCUUAACGUACAGGCUGCCGGGAAUACUGCAGAGCUAGGGAGUGGGAGAGGUAGACGGUACUCGGGAGGAAGCGGUAAAAUGCUUUGAUCUCUCGAUGACCACCUGUGGCGAAGGCGGUCUACCAGAACACGUCCGACGGUGAGGGAUGAAAGCUGGGGGAGCAAACCGGAUUAGAUACCCGAGUAGUCC
This 274-nucleotide ribosomal RNA is filed under the name uncultured bacterium. Its description in RNAcentral is "partial 16S ribosomal RNA". It matches the Rfam family "Archaeal small subunit ribosomal RNA", at positions 473 to 747 of the family's 1478-position model. The record is from RNAcentral.